ACUUACGACCACACCACCGUAAAUCAGGCUGGUCUGAUCUCAGAAGCUCAGCAGGUUUGGUCGGUACUUGAAUGGCUGAUACUAAAUGCUGUAAGUC
RNAcentral lists this ribosomal RNA (97 nucleotides) under Oryzias latipes (Japanese medaka). Lineage: Eukaryota; Metazoa; Chordata; Actinopteri; Beloniformes; Adrianichthyidae. The record is from RNAcentral.